GGAAGGCAUUCCUCUUUCUUUUCUCAAUCAGAGCGAUGCAGUCUGGUGUGUACGAAAGACACCCAUCACUGUGUCUCAGUGCAAAUCCGUGAAACGUGCGGCACUUUGCAUGGCUCGAGUUUUAUGGAGAAAUACCGAGGUUCGCUUUCGGAGCGGGGUUCGUAUUUCAAUCAUCUGAAGCUUGGAAUCUGUUCCACUUUCUCAUGAGAUCAGGUCGAGGCAGCAGUCGAGCUUCUUCCCUAAGUGAGCUCGACUGCGCUGUGAUUACGUAAGCAGCGUUUCGGAAAUGCGUGGCUGUUUCACGUGUUUUUCCUCCCAGACUGCUUGCUGUUGUGCAAUUGAGGAAAAGUACCUCAUGGGUAGGAACUGCCAGUCAUUCAAACGGAGUAAAGAGAGUUCAGAAUACGAUAACGCCGGCAUCGAGUGUCUCUUUAGACGUCAUGUUAGGGGAAACGUGCACGCAACCAACUUCUCUGGGAUUCAGCACAGGGUGCGAGCGCGUACUGAAGGGCAUUAUGACCUUGAACCGUGGCUGUGUCAGUCCAGUCCAGUCCAGAACAAACCAGAGUUUCGAGAUUGUAUUGUCUACUCCUCGUACUGGGUGAAAUUCAACCUUGCAGGACCAAAAGGCUCAAAAACAGACCUAAUCAUCAUUCUGGUCAUCACUAGCAAGCAUGGUGGACAAAAAAAAAAAUGAUUUAUAUAGCAAGAAAUGUGCCGGGGAGCAAGACAGAUGAUUGCUGACUGGAGAAAAUGUAUGACACAGAGCAUCAGAAGAUAUCGUGCGUCUGAUGAUGAACAACGAUUCCAGGUCCUUGUGAGGAACAUCAUAAAAUCUCAUCUUGUCCUGUUAUACUGUUUUAUCCUCCUGCUUUUCAGAAAUGACGCAACAAGCGUUAUCUCUUUAAUGCAUCACUAUAUAUAUAUAUAUAUAUGGGGGGGGGUAAAUAUUUUUUUCUUCUCCUCUAUCUCUGGUCAUGUGCUUGUAAUGAUGAAUUUUCUAUCUGGGUUACUACACGGUGUAACGGCCGUGAGUUGUGCUCCCGAUCGUGUUGAAUCUGAAAUGCCAGAGCUCCUGACACCUAUAGCUGCUCCUAAUGAGUGACACUUGAAAGAUCUCGCCGCAUUCAUCAUCUCCUUGACCUUUCCCCAAGAGCGCCGAAGUAUCCAUCUUCAUGCUGACAUUAAUUAUAUCUGAACUGUCAAGAACUGUAUUUUAGAAAGGAUGCGCUAGGUCUCAUUUAGGGCUUUGAAACAGAUGCGUGUUUAAAAUGCACUGCAAGAAAAAUACGACAUCUCGGCGAGUGAACAUAUCUGGAAUGUGGCGGGGCAGCAUGGGAAGCUUUUCAUUUCUGGAAAGAAGCCUGAAAAUGUCUGGGAGACGACCGGAUUUUUGGACAUGAGCCACUUCAUGCAGAACGUGCCUCAGCGCCCAGGGUAUGAUCCAUUCAUUUUCAUUGCUGGGGAAAAGAAGAGAAAAAAAAAAACACACACACACACACACACUUCUUCACCAAACUCUCAGCUUCUUUAUUCAUGUUUUUCUUCAUCUAGAAUUGAUAGAAAUUCCC
Molecule: long non-coding RNA, 1571 nt
Organism: Ictalurus punctatus (channel catfish)
Lineage: Eukaryota; Metazoa; Chordata; Actinopteri; Siluriformes; Ictaluridae
Source: Ensembl